RNAcentral lists this RNase P RNA (299 nucleotides) under Acetatifactor sp. RNAcentral's name for it is "partial RNase P RNA component class A". It matches the Rfam family "Bacterial RNase P class A", at positions 46 to 367 of the family's 367-position model. From Rfam's summary of the family: Ribonuclease P (RNase P) is a ubiquitous endoribonuclease, found in archaea, bacteria and eukarya as well as chloroplasts and mitochondria. Its best characterised activity is the generation of mature 5'-ends of tRNAs by cleaving the 5'-leader elements of precursor-tRNAs. Lineage: Bacteria; Bacillati; Bacillota; Clostridia; Lachnospirales; Lachnospiraceae. The record is from RNAcentral.
GAAAGUCCGGGCUUCACAGGGCAGGAUGCCGGAUAACGUCCGGUGGAGGUGACUCCAAGGCCAGUGCAACAGAAAUAUACCGCCAGAUUCGUCUGGUAAGGGUGGAAAGGCAGUUUAAGAGACUACCGUCCGUCCGGUAACGGGCGGAGCCAUGUAAACCCCAUCCGAAGCAAGACCAAAACGAAAGCGACAGGCUUGCCCGGCCUGCUUUCAGGUGGGUCGCUUGACGCGGCUGGCAACAGCCGUGCUAGAUAGAUGAUCAUUCACGACAUAACCCGGCUUAUCGUCCUGCUUACAGC